UGCCAGCAGCCGCGGUAAUACGGAGGGUGCAAGCGUUGCUCGGAAUCACUGGGCGUAAAGCGUACGCAGGCGGUUCGUCAAGUCGGGUGUGAAAUCCCGGAGCUCAACUCCGGAACUGCGCCCGAAACUGGCGGACUUGAAUACGGGAGAGGAAAGCGGAAUUCCUGGUGUAGAGGUGAAAUUCGUAGAUAUCAGGAGGAACACCAGUGGCGAAAGCGGCUUUCUGGCCCGAUAUUGACGCUCAUGUACGGAAGCGUGGGUAGCAAACAGGAUUAGAUA
This 279-nucleotide ribosomal RNA is filed under the name uncultured bacterium. Its description in RNAcentral is "partial 16S ribosomal RNA". It matches the Rfam family "Bacterial small subunit ribosomal RNA", at positions 506 to 784 of the family's 1533-position model. The record is from RNAcentral.